GCGCUAACAUCCGGUAUUGCUGGUUACACUGCGACGUCCUUCUAUUUGCAACUAGAAGGGACCAAUUGGGUGAGAAAUCUAUUGUUGACUGGUUGCCUAUUCUGCGGGCCUCUCUUCUUGACAUUUUGCUUCCUUAACACCGUUGCUAUAGCCUAUAGUGCUACUGCAGCUUUACCCUUUGGGACUAUCCUUGUAAUUGUUCUCAUCUGGACCCUGGUGACUUCUCCUUUGCUUGUAUUGGGUGGUGUUGCGGGUAAGAAUGGUAAG
Molecule: unclassified non-coding RNA, 267 nt
Filed under: Hevea brasiliensis (rubber tree)
Lineage: Eukaryota; Viridiplantae; Streptophyta; Magnoliopsida; Malpighiales; Euphorbiaceae
Source: RNAcentral